UACACUCAAAUUCAUGUCCACAGAGUUAUAGACAGGUGCAAAAAUAAAGCCUCUUUUGCAACCCGGAACUCAUUGUUCUGUAUGAGAUUUGUUACAGAUAAGAAGGAACAUG
RNAcentral lists this small nucleolar RNA (112 nucleotides) under Moschus moschiferus (Siberian musk deer). RNAcentral's name for it is "Small nucleolar RNA SNORA40 (ENSMMSG00000014987.1)". It matches the Rfam family "Small nucleolar RNA SNORA40", at positions 22 to 128 of the family's 128-position model. From Rfam's summary of the family: The snoRNA ACA 40 belongs to the H/ACA family of snoRNAs and guides the pseudouridylation of 28S rRNA subunit at position U4565. NB This family has a high threshold value to exclude a large number of closely related sequences that do not appear to have conserved H and ACA boxes, and may be pseudogenes. Lineage: Eukaryota; Metazoa; Chordata; Mammalia; Artiodactyla; Moschidae. The record is from Rfam by way of RNAcentral.